RNAcentral lists this long non-coding RNA (331 nucleotides) under Citrus maxima (pomelo). RNAcentral describes it as "long non-coding RNA (CMAX_LNC001305)". The record is from RNAcentral. Lineage: Eukaryota; Viridiplantae; Streptophyta; Magnoliopsida; Sapindales; Rutaceae.
CAGCUGUGGGAAGAACCUUUAAGAAGGUAGAUAAGGCAGAAAAGGGUAACUAUCUGAGGCUGCUUGCUAAUACCCAGUAUGAUGGUGUUUCUGGGGUCAGAGAACACAUCCUUAAGAUGACUAGUUACCAUAAGAAGCUGAAGGACAUGGAUGUCACUUUGCCUGAUGACUACCUGGUCUUCCAAAUCCUUGAAUCUCUUCCACCACAAUUUGGCAAUUUGAGAAGCCAAUACAAUACUCAGAGAGACACUUGGAAUAUCACUGAGUUGACUGCUUAUGUGGUUCAGGAAGAGGAAUCAUUGAAGAAGGGGAAAUCUCACACUGUCAUGGU